UUAAAGAAAAAUGUAGUCAAAUUUUAAAUAAUGUAGGUAGUAUAAUCCUUUGAUUGUAAAUUAUUUUCCCUACUACGUAAAGCUGGUACAAUAGCCGUACGGUUUUUUAUAUACCGAAAAGCAUUCAUUCAUCAUGGAGUCCAGGAUGAUUUACGAUGUGAUGGUAGAACAAUGCUGGAUUACCACCCUAUAAUUCUUGAAACUACAUUAGUUUCCAAUGCCAGUGGAUCGGCAAGGCUGAGACUUGCAAACUCAACAACAUCUGGAAAAUGAAAUUUGCAAAUUCCUACAAAGAUCCUAUGCUUCAGCUGAUGUGAUAUUUCCACCAGUCCUGAUGUAU
Long non-coding RNA from Daphnia pulicaria, 340 nucleotides. RefSeq lists it as uncharacterized. The transcript is spliced from 3 exons. Lineage: Eukaryota; Metazoa; Arthropoda; Branchiopoda; Diplostraca; Daphniidae. The record is from RefSeq and is a predicted model, not a curated record.